AGCCGGUUGGAGUAUGGUGGUUUAUAAUUAAUUGUCACGACCAGUUACAGGUUUCUUGGUUCCUUCUUCCCUCCCCGUGCCCCACUUGACCAGCCUAAA
Unclassified non-coding RNA from Ursus americanus (American black bear), 99 nucleotides. It matches the Rfam family "Y RNA". From Rfam's summary of the family: Y RNAs are components of the Ro ribonucleoprotein particle (Ro RNP), in association with Ro60 and La proteins. The Y RNAs and Ro60 and La proteins are well conserved, but the function of the Ro RNP is not known. The record is from Ensembl. NCBI's taxonomy places the organism in Eukaryota, Metazoa, Chordata, Mammalia, Carnivora, Ursidae.